Molecule: transfer RNA, 73 nt
Filed under: Mustela putorius furo (domestic ferret)
Lineage: Eukaryota; Metazoa; Chordata; Mammalia; Carnivora; Mustelidae
Rfam family: tRNA
About the family: Transfer RNA (tRNA) molecules are approximately 80 nucleotides in length.
Source: Rfam by way of RNAcentral
GCCUGCCUAACUCAGUUGGUAGAGCAUGAGACUCUUGAUCUUAGGGUUGUGAGUUCGAGCCCCACGUUGGGCG